Molecule: ribosomal RNA, 409 nt
Filed under: uncultured bacterium
Lineage: Bacteria
Description: bacterial SSU rRNA
Rfam family: Bacterial small subunit ribosomal RNA
Source: RNAcentral
AAUGGGCGAAAGCCUGACGCAGCGACGCCGCGUGAGCGAUGAAGGCCUUCGGGUUGUAAAGCUCUGUGGGGAGAGAAGAAUAAGGGUUGGCUAACAUCCAACCUGAUGACGGUAUCUCCUUAGCAAGCACCGGCUAACUCUGUGCCAGCAGCCGCGGUAAGACAGAGGGUGCAAACGUUGUUCGGAAUCACUGGGCGUAAAGCGCGUGUAGGCGGCUUGGCAAGUCGGAUGUGAAAUCCCACGGCUCAACCAUGGAAGUGCAUUCGAAACUGCCAGACUAGAGUCCUGGAGAGGAAGGCGGAAUACUCGGUGUAGAGGUGAAAUUCGUAGAUAUCGAGUGGAACACCGGUGGCGAAGGCGGCCUUCUGGACAGUGACUGACGCUGAAACGCGAAAGCGUGGGGAGCAAA